This 301-nucleotide ribosomal RNA is filed under the name uncultured bacterium. Its description in RNAcentral is "partial 16S ribosomal RNA". It matches the Rfam family "Bacterial small subunit ribosomal RNA", at positions 509 to 807 of the family's 1533-position model. The record is from RNAcentral.
CAGUCGCCGCGGUAAUGCGAAGGGGGCUAGCGUUGAUCGGAAUGACUGGGCGUAAAGCGCACGUAGGCGGUUAUUCAAGUCAGAGGUGAAAGCCCGGGGCUCAACCCCGGAACUGCCUUUGAAACUAGAUGACUAGAAUCUUGGAGAGGUCAGUGGAAUUCCGCGUGUAGAGGUGAAAUUCGUAGAUAUUCGGAAGAACACCAGUGGCGAAGGCGACUUACUGGACAAGUAUUGACGCUGAGGUGCGAAAGCGUGGGGAGCAAACAGGAUUAGAUACCCCGGUAGUCCCUGUCUCUUAUAC